RNAcentral lists this ribosomal RNA (412 nucleotides) under uncultured bacterium. Its description in RNAcentral is "bacterial SSU rRNA". It matches the Rfam family "Bacterial small subunit ribosomal RNA", at positions 355 to 776 of the family's 1533-position model. The record is from RNAcentral.
UGGGGAAUCUUGGACAAUGGGGGAAACCCUGAUCCAGCAACGCUGCGUGAAGGACGAAGGUCUUCGGAUCGUAAACUUCUUUUCUAUGGGACGAAAGCUUCGGUAUGACGGUACCAUAGGAAUAAGCCCCGGCUAAAUAUGUGCCAGCAGCCGCGGUAAGACAUAUGGGGCAAGCGUUAUUCGGAAUUACUAGGCGUAAAGCGCGUGUAGGCGGGUGCGCAAGUCUGCCGUGAAAUCUCCCGGCUUAACUGGGAGGGGUCGGCGGAUACUGCGUGUCUAGAGUUGGGUAGGGGGUACCGGAAUUCCUGGUGUAGCGGUGAAAUGCGUAGAUAUCAGGAGGAACACCGAUGGCGAAAGCAGGUACCUGGGCCUUGACUGACGCUGAGACGCGAAAGCUGGGGUAGCAAACAGG